RNAcentral lists this ribosomal RNA (253 nucleotides) under uncultured bacterium. RNAcentral describes it as "partial 16S ribosomal RNA". It matches the Rfam family "Bacterial small subunit ribosomal RNA", at positions 524 to 776 of the family's 1533-position model. The record is from RNAcentral.
UACGUAGGGGGCAAGCGUUAUCCGGAUUUACUGGGUGUAAAGGGAGCGUAGACGGCAGCGCAAGUCUGGAGUGAAAUGCCGGGGCUCAACCGUAAAAUUGCAGUUGAAACUGGCAGUCUUGAGUACAGUAGAGGUGGGCGGAAUUCGUGGUGUAGCGGUGAAAUGCUUAGAUAUCACGAAGAACUCCGAUUGCGAAGGCAGCUCACUGGACUGCAACUGACACUGAGGCUCGAAAGUGUGGGUAUCAAACAGG